RNAcentral lists this ribosomal RNA (465 nucleotides) under uncultured bacterium. RNAcentral's name for it is "partial 16S ribosomal RNA". It matches the Rfam family "Bacterial small subunit ribosomal RNA", at positions 28 to 507 of the family's 1533-position model. The record is from RNAcentral.
GACGAACGCUGGCGGCGUGCUUAACACAUGCAAGUCGAACGGACAGGCCAUUUUGGGGGUAGCUGCGUGGCGAACGGGUGAGUAACACGUGGGUAACCUGCCCUUGACUUCCGGCCAACUACCGGAAACUGGGGCUAAUACAGGAUAGGUAUUAUUGCUGCAUGGUGGGGGUUGGAUAGUUUCUGCGGUUUUGGAUGGAUUGGCCGCUUACCAGCUUGUUGGUGGGGUAGUUGCAUACUAAGGCUUUGACGGGUAGCCGGCCUUGGGGGGGGAACGCCGACAAGAGGACUGAGAGACGGACCAGACUCCUACGGGAGGCAACAGUGGGGAAUAUUGCCCAAUGGGGGGGAGCCUGAGGCAGAAGCGCCGCGGUCGGGAUGCCGGCUUUCGGGUGGAGAACCGCUGUCAGCAUGGGCGGUGCAUGUUGUGACGGUACCUGCAGAAGAAGCACCGGCUAACUACGUG